UGUGCACCAGUCGAGAAUUUUUCUCAAUGGGGGAAACCCUGAAGGAGCGACGCCGCGUGGAGGAUGAAGGUCUUCGGAUUGUAAACUCCUGUCAUUGGGGAACAAUGCGUAAAUAUUAACUGUAUUUGCGUUGAUAGUACCCGAAGAGGAAGAGACGGCUAACUCUGUGCCAGCAGCCGCGGUAAUACAGAGGUCUCAAGCGUUGUUCGGAUUCAUUGGGCGUAAAGGGUGCGUAGGCGGCGCGGUAAGUCGGGUGUGAAAUCUUGGAGCUUAACUCCGAAACUGCAUUCGAUACUGCCGUGCUUGAGGACUGGAGAGGAGACUGGAAUUUACGGUGUAGCGGUGAAAUGCGUAGAUAUCGUAAGGAAGACCAGUGGCGAAGGCGGGUCUCUGGACAGUUCCUGACGCUGAGGCACGAAGGUCAGGGGAGCAAACGGGAUUAGAUACCCCGGUAGC
This 456-nucleotide ribosomal RNA is filed under the name uncultured bacterium. Its description in RNAcentral is "bacterial SSU rRNA". It matches the Rfam family "Bacterial small subunit ribosomal RNA", at positions 345 to 794 of the family's 1533-position model. The record is from RNAcentral.